AAACAGGAUUAGAUACCCUGGUAGUCCACGCCGUAAACGAUGUCGACUUGGAGGUUGUGCCCUUGAGGCGUGGCUUCCGGAGCUAACGCGUUAAGUCGACCGCCUGGGGAGUACGGCCGCAAGGUUAAAACUCAAAUGAAUUGACGGGGGCCCGCACAAGCGGUGGAGCAUGUGGUUUAAUUCGAUGCAACGCGAAGAACCUUACCUGGCCUUGACAUCCAGAGAACUUAGCAGAGAUGCUUUGGUGCCUUCGGGAACUCUGAGACAGGUGCUGCAUGGCUGUCGUCAGCUCGUGUUGUGAAAUGUUGGGUUAAGUCCCGCAACGAGCGCAACCCUUAUCCUUUGUUGCCAGCGGCUCGGCCGGGAACUCAAAGGAGACUGCCGGUGAUAAACCGGAGGAAGGUGGGGAUGACGUCAAGUCAUCAUGGCCCUUACGGCCAGGGCUACACACGUGCUACAAUGGCGCAUACAAAGAGAAGCGACCUCGCGAGAGCAAGCGGACCUCAUAAAGUGCGUCGUAGUCCGGAUUGGAGUCUGCAACUCGACUCCAUGAAGUCGGAAUCGCUAGUAAUCGUAGAUCAGAAUGCUACGGUGAAUACGUUCCCGGGCCUUGUACACACCGCCCGUCACACCAUGGGAGUGGGUUGCAAAAGAAGUAGGUAGCUUAACCUUCGGGAGG
RNAcentral lists this ribosomal RNA (679 nucleotides) under Pantoea sp. Its description in RNAcentral is "bacterial SSU rRNA". It matches the Rfam family "Bacterial small subunit ribosomal RNA", at positions 770 to 1449 of the family's 1533-position model. Lineage: Bacteria; Pseudomonadati; Pseudomonadota; Gammaproteobacteria; Enterobacterales; Erwiniaceae. The record is from RNAcentral.